CAUAUGAGAAUACAGGCCCGGGCGAGAUUCGCAAAUCGGGUCCUUCAGCAGGAUAGAGAGAUCUCCGGGAGAGGAGGACCCGCUGAGUCCCUUGUACCCGCUGUCACCUCUCUCUACAUCCAGGGGGCGCGUCCACUCACUCGGCAACCACAUCAGUCAGUCCUAAAGCUCGGGACUAGGUGCUUGCGGUUUAAGCAGCAGCCAUGCCAAGCCAGGUGAAGGCAGCGGGGCAAGGAGGUGCAGAAGACCUGGAAGACAUGAUCUACCAACCUGCAGAACCCCUGCAAGACCAGGCACAUGUGCCAGACCUAAGAACAUACAAAGAUCUGUAUGAGAAGUCCAUCCACAGUCCACAAGAGUUCUGGAUGGAGGUCGCCUCAGAGUUUUAUUGGAAGUCGCCCCCCACCGGGAAGGUGCUGGAUUAUAACUUUGAUCUCACCAAAGGCAAAAUAUUUGUGGAGUUCAUGAAAGGGGCCAAGACCAACGUCUGCUACAAUGUCGUGGACAGAAACGUCUUGGAGAAGAACCUUGGGGAUAAGAUCGCAUAUUUCUGGGAAGGCAAUUCACCCGCUGAUUCUUCAGUGAUCUCCUAUGCCGAGUUACUCAAACAAGUUUGCAAGUUUGCAAAUGUCUUAAGGAAUUUAGGAGUGAAGAAAGGAGACAGGGUGGCCAUCUAUUUGCCAAUGAUCCCAGAGCUAGUAUAUGCAAUGCUGGCAUGUGCGAGGAUUGGUGCAGUUCACUCUAUAGUGUUUGCAGGAUUUUCCUCCGAUUCCCUUUGUGAAAGAAUCCUGGACUCGCAGUGUGCUGUCCUUAUUACUGCAGAUGGUGUGUUCAGAGGAGAAAAACUCAUCAACCUGAAACAUAUCGCAGAUGAGGCUAUGCACAAAUGCAAGGAAAAGGCACAUACUGUGAAAAAUUGCAUUGUGGUGAGGCACCUCAGUGGGAGGUUAAACAACCAGAACAAAACAAAGCUUCAGACUGCCUGGAAUCCAGAUACUGACAGGUGGCUGGAUGAGCUGAUGGCGGAGGCGGAUGAUGAGUGUGAACCUGAGUGGUUGGAUUCAGAAGAUCCUCUUUUCAUCCUUUAUACCAGUGGCUCCACUGGAAAGCCAAAGGGUGUAUUGCACACAGUUGCAGGAUACCUACUCUACACUGCUCUAACCUUCAAGUACGUGUUUGACUACCACGAAGAUGACGUGUACUGGAGCACAGCUGACAUUGGAUGGAUCACAGGUCAUUCCUACAUUACCUAUGGGCCAUUGGCUAAUGGGGCCACCAGUGUGAUGUUUGAAGGCAUUCCUACCUAUCCACAUGUGGGGAGAUUUUGGGAAAUUAUUGAAAAGUACAAAGUGAACCAGUUUUAUACUGCACCCACAGCCAUACGCUUACUGAUGAAAUACGGGAAUGAGGUCAUUCAUAAGUACGAUCUGAAUUCUUUGAAAAUUCUGGGUACUGUAGGAGAGCCCAUAAAUGCAGAAGCAUGGUUGUGGUACUAUAACGUUAUCGGCAGUCAGCGAUGUCCCAUUGUUGACACUUUUUGGCAGACAGAAACAGGAGGUCAUGUUAUAACCCCUUUGCCAGCAGCUACACCUCUGAAACCCGGAUCUGCUACGUUUCCAUUCUUUGGCGUGGUUCCUGCAGUACUGAAUGAGCAUGGAGAGGAGCUAGAAGGAGAAGCUGAAGGCUACCUAGUCUUCAAGCAGCCAUGGCCAUCUAUUAUGAGGACCUUGUAUGGCAACCAUGAACGCUUUGAAAACACAUAUUUCAGAAAGUUCCCUGGGUAUUAUGUUGCUGGAGAUGGAUGCAGGCGUGAUAAGGACGGAUACAUCUGGAUUACAGGUCGCAUUGAUGACAUGCUGAAUGUUUCAGGUCACCUGCUAAGCACAGCGGAGGUGGAGUCUGCCCUGGCGGAGCACCCUGCAGUAGUGGAGGCGGCGGUGGUCAGCCGUCCGCACACUGUGAAAGGGGAAUGUCUUUACUGCUUUGUAAUCUUAAAAGAUGGGAAGAAGUUUACAGAGCUGAUUGCAGACGAACUUAAAAAACAAGUUCGGGAGAAAAUAGGACCAAUAGCAACUCCUGAUUUUAUACAGAAUGCUCCGGGAUUGCCAAAGACACGAUCAGGUAAAAUUAUGCGGAGAGUCCUGAGGCAGAUUGCCCGGAAUGAGAAGGAUUUGGGAGAUAUUUCGACUCUUGCUGACCCAAGUAUAGUUGAAGUUUUGUUCAGCCAGCGAUGUGAAGCAGCAGCUUGAGGGAUCUUCAUCACCAUUCUGUAUAUGACAAUCUUUUUUUAUUGAUGUUUUUAUGGAGUUACUACAUUAAAAUAUAUUUUGAAUAUAUAAACUUUAUAGUUUACAUAUUUAAAAUAUAUAAUCUAAAAAUCAAGAUCCGUCCAUGAAGAAAAAUCCAGUUUUGCCUCUUUGGGCCAUUAUAUUACUAAAAUUGGCUCAUUAUGGUUUUCUUACAUAAAACACUGUCUGGAUCAGAUAAUCUGUUUUAAUAAUCCAGCAAUGUGAUCAUUAAUAACUCUGUAAUAUAAUCAUAUUGUGAUUUCUUAAGGCAGCGAUUUUAACAUUUCUAGGCUUUUACUUUAAGGAGAAAUCCAUCAAAUCAAACAUUAAUCCCCUAUCCACAGCUGAUAGUAGGCGGUCUGACUGCUGGGACCCCCAUGAUUUCCGUAACAGGACCCGGCACUCAGAGAGGAACGCGUUCUGCAGAUUUCUAUGGGAGCGCCAAAGAGAUUCAAGUACAGAACUUGGGCAUCAUCGGCGCUCCCAUAGAAAUGAAUGGAGGGUCUACUGGUAGACAACACGUGCUCCUCACUGAAAUCACUCAGAUGGUAUGCACUCCAUUCAUUUCUAUGGGAGAGCCAAAGAGAUUCAAGUAUAGAACUUGGGCAUCAUCGGCGCUCCCAUAGAAAUGAAUGGAGCGUCUACUGGUAGAAAAAAACAAAACUAAAUUGACCCGCUAAGGGGCACAAAAGGCCAACUUCAACUAUUAUCCAAACCCUAGGGCCGUAGUUUGAGAGUGGAUUAUAGGUUGCUGCAGAACCUUUUAGCGUGGAGGUCUUUAGAUCCCACUUGUACUGAAAUUAUCCCCCUCAACACAUUAUAUUUUUAAAUCAGGUUUUUUCUGGGAUUACCUUUUAUUCAUUGAACAUAAUAAUAGUUAUAUUUUAUAAGGGGAAUAAUAAGAGGUGUUUUGCACCCUGGGCUACGGCCCUAGGGUUUGGAUAAUACUGGUAGACAACACGCGCUCCUCACUGAGAUGACUCAGAUGGUAUGCACUCCAUUCAUUUCUAUGGGAGCAACAAAGAGAUUUGAGUACAGAACUUGGGCAUCAUCCGCGCUCCCAUAGAAAUGAAUGGAGCAUCUACUGGUAGACAACACGUGCUUCUCACUGAGAGAGUAGGGGUCCCGUCCCAGAGAUCGAGAGGGUCCAAGCUGUUGGACCCUCCACCAUUAGCUACUUAUCCUCUAUCCUGUGAAUAAUGGAUCAAUUAAUUUUUGCUGGAGUUCUCCUUUAAAACCAACAUAUAUGUUUUUUAUUUUUCUAGGUUAAACAACUCACGACAAUAAAUGCUGGUUGUAAUAUAUGAAAUGCCUUAAAAUAGCUGCAUUAAUCUAUGUACAUUUAAUAAAUGUGAAUGUAAAAUAAUAUAAAAAUGUUAACUAUACUUACUCAGCAUUUGGCCUGUCAGUCCCAUCCAUUAUACAUUUAGAUCACUAUAGGUCAUCACCAGGUCCAAUGUGUGCAUGCAAAAAUACACAACUUUAGGACCCCGGCCUUCCUCCGAGAAGCAUUGUCUUUUGUUUACUUCAGGUAAUUAUAUCAUUGAAUAAGAAAAUAUCAACAAUUCUGGAUUUAUUGAAUGAAUAUAAAACAAAUUUAUCAAAUUUGUCCUGGAUUCUUUAUCAACCAAUCAGCAUUAUAACUUUUUUUGGUUGGAGAAAUCCGCAGCACUAGUCUAAGGCAUACCUUCGAAAUUUUUCGUUUUAUUUCCUUCUAUAUUCCAGUUUUAGAUGCAGAGAAGCUUCAUCUCACACAUUUACUGGCAUGGGGUAUACAUUUCCAUGCAUCUGCUGUGUGUGAAUGUAUCUUAAAGGGGUACUACCAUGCUGACAACUUAUCCCCUAUCUCGCACGCAGUACCCCGCUCUCAUCAGGCCCCAGAGCAAACAUCCGCUCCGGGUCUGAUGACGGGGCCGAUGAUCGUGAAGUCACAGCUCCGCCCCGUGUGACGUCACGCUCCGCCCCGUGUGACGUCACGCUCCGCCCCUCAAUGCAAGUCUAUGGCAUGCGGCGAGACAGCUGUCUCGCCCCCUGCCAUAGACUUACAUUGAGGGGCGGAGCGUGACGUCACACGGGGGCGGAGACAUGACAUCAAGAUACUCCGGCCCCGUGAUCGGCAGUCAUCAGAGCCGGAGCGAACAUCGCUCCGGGGUCUGAUGAGAGCGGGGUGCUGUGUACGAGAUCGCGGGGGUCCUCAGUGGCGGGACCCCGCGCGAUCAGCCAACUUAUCCCCUAUCCUUUAGAUAGGGGAUAAGUUGUCAGCAUGGAAGUACCCCUUUAACAGACGUCUCAUGAAAGCAGAAUUCUCUCUUCUCCUAUAAAAAUAAAUAAAUAUAUAUAUAUAUAUAUAUAUAUAUAUAUAUAUAUAUAUAUAUGCGAAGUAAGAUUUAUGUACAGUAGUCCCUCAAGUUAAAUAUGAAUUGGUUCCAGGAUGACCAUUGUAUGUUGAAACCAUUGUAUGUUGAGACCAGAACUCUAUGGAAACCUGGUAAUUGGUUCUAAAGGCACCAAAAUAUCAUCCAAAAAUAGGAAAAAGUGAGGAUUAAAGAAAAAUAAGUAGAUAACUAAUACAGAUAAAGCAAAUCCUUACAUAUAAAAGUAAGAAAGAUCUGCUGGGAGCUGUAAAUCACUGUCUAGGCACCCUAGUUGGGAAACACUGGUCUAUGUAGAGGAAAGGAGAUUCUUCAGGGUCCUGUACAGUACACGCAAUGGGGGAGAUUUAUCAAAACAUGUGCAAAGGAAAAGCUUCCCCAUAGCAACCAAUCAGAUUUCUUCCUUCAUUUUUUAAAAGGCCUCUGAAAAAUGAAAGUAGCAAUCUGAUUGGUUGCUAUGGGCAACUCAGCAACCUCUGGACAGGUUUGGAUAAAUCUCCCCCAAUGUCCUAAAAAAGUAACAUGGAGUCGCCCUCACCUGGUGUCCAAAGGAGCAGGUAACCCUGGUACAGGUAAAGUAUACAGAACAUGUAAUACCUCCCUGUACUGUAGGGGGCGCUACCAAACACCAGUCAGUGCAUACGCUUCAGUAAUACAGGGGUUUUACCAGUGAAUGCCCAUUCUGAUUGGUCAGUUCUUCCAGCCAUUGACAGGUUAUGCAGAUCUAAAUUGUCCAUACAUUGUAUCAAAGAAAAGAUCAUUGUAUGUUGAGGCCAUUGUAAGUUGAGGGAUCACUGUAGAUCACAUAGGGAAGCUUUGUCCAUCUUUAAAAACACAUACAUUACAUUAUUUUAAAAUGUCCUGCUGCCCAGCUCUGGGAGACGGUUGGGUUGCAACCAUAAAACAACACACUGUAAGUUUUGUCCUAUUGGUUCCGGUGGGAUUCUUUAAUAAUAUGUUGGUUUCUACAUUAUACAGCUGCCAUGAUGCUGUCAUUUUAAGCAACAAAGUAAAAGAUAUGACAUUCAGGAAAGCUAUAAAUGACAUAUAUUUGUCUGGGUUUAAAGGGGUACUCCGGUGAAAAACUUUUUUUUUUUUUUUUUUAAAUCAACUGU
RNA transcript from Hyla sarda, 5775 nucleotides. It is a transcript of the gene named acetyl-coenzyme A synthetase, cytoplasmic-like, with no coding region annotated. NCBI's taxonomy places the organism in Eukaryota, Metazoa, Chordata, Amphibia, Anura, Hylidae. The transcript is spliced from 19 exons. The record is from RefSeq and is a predicted model, not a curated record.